RNAcentral lists this unclassified non-coding RNA (520 nucleotides) under uncultured Glomus. Its description in RNAcentral is "SSU rRNA". It matches the Rfam family "Eukaryotic small subunit ribosomal RNA", at positions 569 to 1091 of the family's 1831-position model. The record is from RNAcentral. Lineage: Eukaryota; Fungi; Glomeromycota; Glomeromycetes; Glomerales; Glomeraceae.
AGCAGCCGCGGUAAUUCCAGCUCCAAUAGCGUAUAUUAAAGUUGCUGCAGUUAAAAAGCUCGUAGUUGAAUUUCGGGACUAAUAUGUCGGUCGUGCCUCGGUACGUACUGGUUUAUUGGUUUCUCCUUUCUGAAGAACCAUGAUGUCAUUUAUUUGGUGUCGUGGGGAAUCAGGACUGUUACUUUGAAAAAAGUUAGAGUGUUUAAAGCAGGCUCACGCUUGAAUACAUUAGCAUGGAAUAAUGAAAUAGGACGUUUGAUUCUAUUUUGUUGGUUUCUAGGAUCGACGUAAUGAUUAAUAGGGAUAGUUGGGGGCAUUAGUAUUCAAUUGUCAGAGGCGAAAUUCUUGGAUUUAUUGAAGACUAACUACUGCGAAAGCAUUUGCCAAGGAUGUUUUCAUUAAUCAAGAACGAAAGUUAGGGGAUCGAAGACGAUCAGAUACCGUCGUAGUCUUAACCAUAAACUAUGCCGACUAGGGAUCGGAUGAUGUUAAUUUUUUAAUGACUCAUUCGGCGCCUUAC